UUAGGGAUCUUGCGCAAUGGCCGAAAGGCUGACGCAGCGACGCCGCGUGGGGGAGGACGGCCCUCGGGUCGUAAACCUCUUUUCUCAAGGACGAGGACGGACGGUACUUGAGGAAGAAGCACCGGCUAACCCCGUGCCAGCAGCCGCGGUAAUACGGGGGGUGCGAGCGUUGUCCGGAUUCACUGGGCGUAAAGGGCGCGCAGGCGGCCGCCUCAGUCCGGCCUUUAAGAGCGGGGCUCACCCCCGUGUUGGGCCGGGGACGGGGUGGCUGGGGCGCGGUCGAGGGGUGCGGAAUGCCGGGUGUAGUGGUGAAAUGCGUAGAGAUCCGGCGGAACACCGGUGGCGGAGGCGGCACCCUGGGCCGAGGCCGACGCUGAGGCGCGAGAGCGUGGGGAGCGAACCGGAUUAGAUACCCGUGUAGUCC
Molecule: ribosomal RNA, 424 nt
Filed under: uncultured bacterium
Lineage: Bacteria
Description: bacterial SSU rRNA
Rfam family: Bacterial small subunit ribosomal RNA
Source: RNAcentral